RNAcentral lists this ribosomal RNA (257 nucleotides) under uncultured soil bacterium. Its description in RNAcentral is "partial 16S ribosomal RNA". It matches the Rfam family "Bacterial small subunit ribosomal RNA", at positions 26 to 280 of the family's 1533-position model. The record is from RNAcentral.
AGGACGAACGCUGGCGGCGUGCUUAACACAUGCAAGUCGAGCGAAGCUCCUGCCUUCGGGUGGGAAGACUUAGCGGCGAACGGGUGAGUAACACGUGGGCAACCUGCCCUUAGCUCUGGGAUAAGCGAUGGAAACGUCGUCUAGUACUGGAUAUGACACUGGGACGCAUGUUCUUGGUGUGGAAAGUAUUUUUUGGCUAAGGAUGGGCCCGCGGCCUAUCAGCUUGUUGGUGGGUAAUGGCCUACCAAGGCGGCGAC